AUCAAGUGUUAGGCUAUUCAAUUAGAACUCUGGUAUUCUUUUGGAAGCAGUUGUGUUUGUAGAGGUAGACAGGGGAUUAUUGUUCACUCGUGGGACUUCUCUGUAGACGGAUUUUCAUCUCUUUUUCUUGUAGGAGUGAACUAUUUGUAAUUGGAACAAUUUUGUUCUGCCUAUAGCUUUCCUUAGAGUAUCACAGUAUCCCUGAAGCAGAAAGUUGAGCAUCCUUCAUUUUCCUGUUGAGUCAGCAUUCUUCUGCUAGCUAAAAGCAUGAGAAUAUUGGAAUGAAGAUUUCUCUUCUGUUUGUAGGAUAUUAUUUCUUUUCCUUGUUCACCCAGUGUAGUUUAAACUAUGUUUGUUUUAUUUCAUACCCUGGAUUAGGUUAUAUUGCACAAAAUCCUGAAACAAUGCAAAUUUGCGUUAGGUAGAUCCAUUGAUGGACUUCAAAUCUUUGGAUACAACAACAACAACAACAACAAAGCCUUUUCCCACUAAGUGGGGUCGGCUAUAUGAAUCCUAGAACGCCAUUGCGCUCGGUUUUGUGUCAUGUCCUCCGUUAGAUCCAAGUACUCUAAGUCUUUUCUUAGGGUCUCUUUCAAAGUUUUCCUAGGUCUUCCUCUACCCCUUCAGCCCCGAACCUCUGUUACGUAGUCACAUCUUCGAACCGGAGCGUCAGUAGGCCUUCUUUGCACAUGUCCAAACCACCGUAACCGAUUUUCUCUCAUCUUUCCUUCAACUUCGGCUACUCCUACUUUACCUCGGAUAUCCUCAUUCACAAUCUUCUCCUUUCUCGUGUGCCCACACAUCCCACGAAGCAUCCCACGAAGCAUCCUUAUCUCCGCUACACCCAUUUUGUGUACGUGUUGAUGCUUCACCGCCCAACAUUCUGUGCCAUACAACAUCGCUGGCCUUAUUGCCGUCCUAUAAAAUUUUCCCUUGAGCUUCAGUGACCUACGACGAUCACACAACACGCCGGAUGCACUCUUACACUUCAUCCAUCCAGCUUGUAUUCUAUGGUUGAGAUCUCCAUCUAAUUCUCCGUUCUCUUGCAAGAUAGAUCCUAGGUAGCGAAAAACGGUCGCUUUUUGUGAUCGUCGCUAGAUUGCUCCGGUCAUUAGUGUGGAUAAGUAUAUAAAUGGAUAGAGAUAGGAAAGCAAACACUAGAUGUACGUGGUUCACCCAUAUUGGCUACGUCCAUGAAAUAGAGGAGUUCUCAUUAAUUGUGAAGGAUUUACACAAGUACAUAGGUUCAAGCUCUCUUUUAGUGAGUACAAGUGAAUGAUUUAGUACAAAUGACAUUAGGAAAUAUUGUGGGAGAAUGAUCUCGUAAUCACGAAACUUCUAAGUUCUGGAGUGUGGUAUCGUCUUGACUUGCCUUAUCUGUCUCGUAGGUAGAUGUGACAUCUUCUCUGGAAGUACUCUUCCUCCAUCCAGGGGUGGUAUCUUUAACUGGUGGAGAUGCAUAAGGUAAUGUAUCAAUUUCACUUGAAGCUUACUUGUAGUUUCAGGCUUGGUCAAGCGCGAUACAAACCAUGUAGUAGGAGUCCUCCAAGUCGCCGAGCUAGGGGAUCUGCUGAAAGAGAUGACAGACAAGGUAAGCAAUCAGAGCUCCAAGCAAUCAGUCCCAGAUCAGAACUUUGAUUUCGAGUUUCGGCUGAUUGUUCACAUUCUCCCUAUCUUGCAGGCAGCAUGAAGGAUAAAGAGAAGAAAAAUGAGAAGAGAUGAUAUGGGAUACUUUUGCUUUUGAAGAAGUAACUUUCCACAGGCUUAUUCUUGAACUGGGCUGGAGGGUUUUCUGGUUUCCUCCAGAGUAUAAGGCCGACUGAAGAAUUUGAGUGUCAAAACAAGUCCAUCAAAUCUAUAGUACGUUCGACCCUGCUGAUAUGGGAUACUUUUGCUUUUGACAGAGUGGAUGUAUCGGCACGUGUGCUGUUACGCUUGUCUCCACAUGCUUCCUUGUAUCCUUCUCACUUGCCCUAUAUAUUUCUCAGGCAGAUGCGGUAUCUUCCCUGAAAGCAUAAGAUGUUGAAGAUGAGUACUCGAGAGCAAUGCCAGGUAAGUAAUCAAGUAAGGGGUUCCAGGCAGUCAGUUCCUGACUGGAAGCUUGAUUCCAAGUGCUGACUGAUUGCUCUCUUUCUCCUUGUCUUGUAAGUAAGAACAAGGCCAAAGGAAAAGACAGGGAAAAAACAUGAUAUGGGAUACUCUUGCUUUUAACCCUGAUGAUAUGAGAUAUUCUUGCUCUAGUAUAGCUUGUUUGCAGAGGUAUUAUCGGGGGGAAAGAAAGCUGAAUAUUUUCGAAAGGCUUCUUUGGGAGUGCCCUCUCAGAUAUGAGGAAGGGUUGAGCAUUUUUGCAGGUCUGCCUGUCUGUUGGGGAUGGAGGUCAACAUAUAUAGGAGUCUCCUUAACAACAAGUAGUAAUGCUAUUCCCUUACCCUGCUUGGUCAUAACACGGUAGUAGGAGCUGCCAGCUUCACAUGUUUUAACUUUGUCAGAGCACUUUGAAAAAGUGGUCUGUGGUAUCUGGAAAGCUGAUGUUGCGUGUAAAGAUUUCAGACAAGCUUUAUCCAAGGAGAUCCGGCUCUUGAAGUUGGGAAAGUAGUGCCUCUUCGGUUUUCGAACAAGCAAUCCUGUCGGAGAUCUGGCUCUCGAGAUUCGGAGAACGAUGCCUUUUCAAUUUUUGAGAAAGCCAUCUUGCUAGGGGUCUGGCUCUCGAGAUUCGGAGAACGGUGUCUCUUCGAUUUUUGAGAAAGUAAUCAUGUUGGGAGUCUGGCUCUCGAGAUUCGGAGGGCGGUGCCUCUUCGAUUUUGGAGCAAGCAGUCUUGUUGGGAGUGUUUUUCUCGAAUGUGAGAAAAAAGGUUGGGCAUGUUUGCUAGUCUAUCCUUGCCACGAAGCACAGAGGUUGACACACAGGGACUUUCCAAUUAUCCAGCAGUGGUACUGUUCCUUUACCCUUGUGGGUAAUAAUAUGGUAGCUAGACCUUCAAAAUUUAUGUGUCUCUAAACUUUGUUAGUGCUGUUUCUUUGCUAUUCUUUUACCCUUCUUGGUCAGAGCGGUGUAGUGGGAGCUGCAAGCUUCACGUGUCUCAACUUUGUCAGAGAACUUUGGCAAAGUUAUCUGUGGUACCCAUGAGCUAAUGUUGCGUGUGGGAAGUGGGUGAUUGAACAGUAAGAUUCAUGUGCUUUCUACUUCACCAGAAAUCUUCGACAUAAUGCCCAUAAUUUCCGCAAAGCUGACAGGUGCUGACAAGGCUGGAAAAGCAGGUGCCUCUUCGAUUUCUGAGAUCGGCCCUCGUGGUCUCUCUGAGCAGCCCAACUUUUUGAGAAAGCAAGCGCCUCUUCGAUUUCUGAGAUCGGCCUUCGUGGUCUUUGAGCAGCCCAACUUUUGAGAAAGCAAACGUCUCGUGGUCUCUGAGCAGCCCAGCUUUUGAGAAAGCAAACGCCUCUUCGAUUUCUGAAGCUCCGUGGAGUGCAGAUUUUUAUAAAGGCUGGCAUUAAGUUCCAAAGCACACUUGAAUCUCCACCAGUAGAAGCUCCAUUCUUGCACUUCUAAGAUCUUGAUUUGUCCGACCUCUUCUCUCUUCAACACCUUUGAAAAUGUCUGGCCCCUCCGACCGUCGUUUUGACUUGAACCUUGUUGAAGAGGCCGCCACGCCUUCUCCAGACAACAACAUAUGGCGCCCAUCCUUCGUCUCCCCUACUGGUCCUCUUUACUGUUGGGGAUUCUGUGAUGAAGAAUGAUAUGACCGCUGCGGUAGUGGCCAGGAACCUUCUCACUCCCAAAGAUAACAGACUACUUUCCAAACGGUCUGAUGAGUUGGCUGUUAAGGAUUCUCUGGCUCUCAGUGUUCAGUGUGCAGGUUCUGUGUCUAACAUGGCCCAACGCCUAUUUGCUCGAACCCGCCAAGUUGAAUCAUUGGCGGCUGAAGUGAUGAGUCUCAAACAGGAGAUUAGAGGGCUCAAGCAUGAGAAUAAACAGUUGCACCGGCUCGCACAUGACUAUGCUACAAACAUGAAGAGGAAGCUUGACCAGAUGAAGGAAUCUGAUGGUCAGGUUUUACUUGAUCAUCAGAGAUUUGUGGGUUUGUUCCAAAGGCAUUUAUUGCCUUCGUCUUCUGGGGCUGUACCGCGUAAUGAAGCUCCAAAUGAUCAACCUCUGCUGCCUCCUCCUUCUAGGGUUCUGUCCAGUACUGAGGCUCCAAAUGAUCCCCCUCCAGUGCCUGCUCUUUCUGGGGCUCUACCGACUACUGAGACUUCUCCUAAGCAACCUUUGUGAAGGCUCCCUCUUGUUUGUUUAUUUUGACUCAUGUAUAUGUACAUAUUUGUGACUUAUCAGGGAUAUCAAUAAAUAGCUUUCCUUCAUUUCAACGUAUUGUGUUGAAUACACCAAAGCCUUCUUCGCUAAGUUCUCUGAAUUUUCUUUUGUUGAAGCUUGUAUGUUGAAGCUUUGUGAGUGGAACAUGUAGGUUGAGGUAGUAUUCCCUUAAUUUCCCGAGUGAGGAAAACUUCUCGGUUGGAGACUUGGAAAAUCCAAGUCACUGAGUGGGAUCGGCUAUAUGAAUCUUUGAAUGCCAUUGUGCUCGGUCCUGUGUCAUGUCCUCCGUUAGAUCCAAGUACUCUAAGUCUUUUCUUAGAGUCUCUUCCAAAGUUUUCCUAGGUCUUCCUCUACCCCUUCGGCCCUGAACCUCUGUCCCAUAGUCGCAUCUUCUAAUCGGAGCGUCAGUAGGCCUUCUUUGCACAUGUCCAAACCACCGUAAUCGAUUUUCUCUCAUCUUUCCUUCAAUUUCGGCUACUCCUACUUUACCCCGGAUAUCCUCAUUCCUAAUCUUAUCCUUUCUUGUGUGCCCACACAUCCAACAAAGCAUCCUCAUCUCCGCUACACCCAUUUUGUGUACGUGUUGAUGCUUCACCGCCCAACAUUCACCGCCCAACAUAUCUGGACUUAAUUUUGCUGCCUUUAUAUUUGAAACUAUAACCACUUAAUAGUUCUAGCAAAACCGCAG
This 4997-nucleotide long non-coding RNA is filed under the name Malus domestica (apple). Its description in RNAcentral is "long non-coding RNA (MDOM_LNC017006)". Lineage: Eukaryota; Viridiplantae; Streptophyta; Magnoliopsida; Rosales; Rosaceae. The record is from RNAcentral.